Molecule: ribosomal RNA, 440 nt
Filed under: uncultured bacterium
Lineage: Bacteria
Description: partial 16S ribosomal RNA
Rfam family: Bacterial small subunit ribosomal RNA
Source: RNAcentral
CCUACGGGAGGCAGCAGUGGGGGAUAUUGCACAAUGGGGGGAACCCUGAUGCAGCGACGCCGCGUGGGUGAAGGAGCGUUUCGGCGCGUAAAGCCCUAUUGGCAGGGAAGAAGAUGACGGUACCUGACCAAGAAGCACCGGCUAACUACGUGCCAGCAGCCGCGGUAAUACGUAGGGGGCAAGCGUUAUCCGGAUUUACUGGGUGGAAAGGGGGCGGAGACGGCAAUGCAAGCCAGGUGUGAAAGCCCGGGGCCCAACCCCGGGACUGCUCUUGGAACUGCAUGGCUGGAGUACAGGAGGGGCAGGCGGAAUUCCUAGUGUAGCGGUGAAAUGCGUAGAUAUUAGGAGGAACACCGGUGGCGAAGGCGGCCUGCUGGACUGUGACUGACGUUGAGGCCCGAAGGCGUGGGGAGCAAACAGGAUUAGAUACCCCGGUAGUC